Long non-coding RNA from Triticum dicoccoides, 1805 nucleotides. RefSeq lists it as uncharacterized. NCBI's taxonomy places the organism in Eukaryota, Viridiplantae, Streptophyta, Magnoliopsida, Poales, Poaceae. The record is from RefSeq and is a predicted model, not a curated record. The transcript is spliced from 5 exons.
GUUCCCCUUUCCCAUUUGGGUCAUUCUGUUUCGAUAAGGCCGAGGGAGAGAGCCCGGGCGGCGGAGGCGACGCGAUUCCAUGGCGAUUCUGAUCUUCCCCUCUCCUCGUGCUUGAUUUUUCCUCCGUGUUCCUUCGAUCCCGGCUCCCGUGGAACAUCUCAAUGUCAUCUUCAUCAUAAAUGCAUCUUCUUCAUCAAGGGAGGCUUUGCUUUCAGGCCUGCCUCCCACGGAUUAACUUGCGCUUGCGCAUCUUCGCCUGUCGACUGUUGCCAAUUCUGCAUCUGUUGUGUGGACAUAAUGAGAGGAGUUGAAGAUUUUCAUGUACAUGUUGUUUUCCUCUGGAUUGAUAUUGCUGUGUAGCACAAGUGACUGCUUCUGUUCUACCUCUAGGUGCCAGAAGGAAAGGAGGACAACUGGGAGGGACCGGUUCAACCUUUUGUUUGUUUUUGGUUGACCCGUUUUCAACCUGACCCGUUUUCAACAGACAACUGUCAACAGUUCAUUGGAUGGAAAAAAUGACUGACAUCUAAUUACAAAUCAGUCGAAUUACAAAUAGACACUCCCUUCUUUUUUUUUUGAGGGGAAAAAGUGAAAACUAUUUAAUUCUUCCUUUAGCGAGUUGAUACGGACAUUGUUUUUUUUCUUUUGCGAAGUCAUAUGGACAUUGUUGAGAGGAGGAGGAGGAGGCCUGCAGAGACCGAGCGCCGUGCGCGCUGACGCCCAUGCCCAUGCACAUGCAUGCGCGCGCGCAAAUGUCGGAUCGGCCGGCCUCGAUGGAUGACACACGUGGUGUGUGUUGGCCAUGCACAUGCAUAGAUACUACAUGCAUCAUCUCUCCCCUGCACCGGCCGGUCUCAUCCACUCUUCCUUUCCAGCCACUCCUCUAUAAAUACCAGACGUACGCACUGGCGGCAUAUCUAUCUCAAUCAGCUUGAAGCCAAUUGGUACACACACACGACACACAUACACAUAUAGGCCAUGGGUUCGAAGCGCAGCGCUGCUGUGUGGUGUUUAGUCCUGCUCCUCGUGCUCGUCGCCGUGACGGCGGCUGAGGGGAGGUCCAUCGGAGAGUGCCAAACCGAAUGCUUUGGCUCCCCCCGCUACACGCAGUGCCUGUAUAUGUGCAGACUUCGCCUCGCGCUUCGAGGAACAUAUCAAGAAGCAGCAGCGGCACUAGGAGGGAGGUGCCGUUGGCCCAACUGCCGUUAGAUGGCAAGAGGGUGUUUCUUCUUCCUCGUUCUCUCCGUCCCCUCCCCUUCAUCCCAACCUCCUGUCUCAGAUCCGCCUCCCUCGGACCCUUCUCUCCUCCUCCGCCCUCGCCGGCGGUGAGCGGGGAGGGGCCCUUCCUCCUGUCUCAGAUCCACCACGAGAACUAGUACGUAGUUCCUUCAUGUAGUGGCUUUGGACAUUCUGUCUCUUCGUUUCCGGAGAAGUCAGGGGGCGAGGAGGCGCUCCUGGCUUGGCUUUUCCUUCCUUCUCGUGGUGGUCGCUGUCUGCCUCGCUGACGGCAGUGAUGAGGUGUGUCUCGUGGCCGCUCCGUCAAAUAACCUCCAGAUCUGUCCGGGUCCGUGCUCUUCCACUCCUCUCGCUGGGAGUCGGAGAAGAUAUCCAUGCCUGCAGGUCCUUUAGCUAGGUUUUCUGUUCCAAUGAUCACCCCAGCUAUCUUUGUAUCUCUUGUUGGCCUAGGCUUCUUCUUUCAUUUGCUACUUGUGCCUGUGAGUCAAGAGCGGUGUCCCUUAUGGACCAAUUUGUAAUCACUUCUUCUACAUGGUUGCUUAUGUAAUUUCAAACUUUUUUUUAUCCCA